UACGUAGGGGGCUAGCGUUGUCCGGAAUCAUUGGGCGUAAAGCGCGUGUAGGCGGUCCGGUAAGUCCGCUGUGAAAGUCGGGGGCUCAACCCUCGAAUGCCGGUGGAUACUGUCGGGCUAGAGUGCGGAAGAGGCGAGUGGAAUUCCUGGUGUAGCGGUGAAAUGCGCAGGUAUCAGGAGGAACACCAAUUGCGAAGGCAGCUCGCUGGGACGUUACUGACGCUGAGACGCGAAAGCGUGGGGAGCAAACAGG
RNAcentral lists this ribosomal RNA (253 nucleotides) under uncultured bacterium. RNAcentral describes it as "partial 16S ribosomal RNA". It matches the Rfam family "Bacterial small subunit ribosomal RNA", at positions 524 to 776 of the family's 1533-position model. The record is from RNAcentral.